UGGUAAUGCCGGAUGUUCCACAUGAUCGCAUGUGAUUGUGGGAAAGAUUCUAUCGGCGUGGGAUGGGGUCGCGUCCUAUCAGCUUGUUGGUGAGGUAACGGCUCACCAAGGCUUCGACGGGUAGCCGGCCUGAGAGGGCGACCGGCCACAUUGGGACUGAGAUACGGCCCAGACUCCUACGGGAGGCAGCAGUGGGGAAUAUUGCACAAUGGGCGCAAGCCUGAUGCAGCGACGCCGCGUGAGGGAUGGAGGCCUUCGGGUUGUAAACCUCUUUUGUUUGGGAGCAAGCCUUCGGGUGAGUGUACCUUUCGAAUAAGCGCCGGCUAACUACGUGCCAGCAGCCGCGGUAAUACGUAGGGCGCAAGCGUUAUCCGGAUUUAUUGGGCGUAAAGGGCUCGUAGGCGGCUCGUCGCGUCCGGUGUGAAAGUCCAUCGCUUAACGGUGGAUCUGCGCCGGGUACGGGCGGGCUGGAGUGCGGUAGGGGAGACUGGAAUUCCCGGUGUAACGGUGGAAUGUGUAGAUAUCGGAAAAAAACACCA
Molecule: ribosomal RNA, 539 nt
Filed under: Bifidobacterium bifidum
Lineage: Bacteria; Bacillati; Actinomycetota; Actinomycetes; Bifidobacteriales; Bifidobacteriaceae
Description: bacterial SSU rRNA
Rfam family: Bacterial small subunit ribosomal RNA
Source: RNAcentral